RNAcentral lists this ribosomal RNA (253 nucleotides) under uncultured bacterium. Its description in RNAcentral is "partial 16S ribosomal RNA". It matches the Rfam family "Bacterial small subunit ribosomal RNA", at positions 524 to 776 of the family's 1533-position model. The record is from RNAcentral.
UACGGAGGGUGCAAGCGUUGUCCGGAAUCAUUGGGCGUAAAGGGCGCGUAGGCGGCCGUUCAAGUCGGGGGUGAAAGCCUGUGGCUCAACCACAGAAUGGCCUUCGAUACUGGACGGCUCGAGACCGGAAGAGGUCAGUGGAACUGCGAGUGUAGAGGUGAAAUUCGUAGAUAUUCGCAAGAACACCAGUGGCGAAGGCGGCUGACUGGUCCGGUUCUGACGCUGAGGCGCGAAAGCGUGGGGAGCAAACAGG